Molecule: long non-coding RNA, 1201 nt
Organism: Portunus trituberculatus (swimming crab)
Lineage: Eukaryota; Metazoa; Arthropoda; Malacostraca; Decapoda; Portunidae
Exons: 2
Source: RefSeq, a predicted model, not a curated record
UAUGCAGUUGUGUGUGUUUAACGGUUGGUUUGGAAGGAGUUAAUAUUGAGUGUGGCUAGUUUAUAUCCAGAUGGUGGACCAGUGGUUAGAUUCACCGGCAGCGUUUCAUAUGUUCGUUUGCCCUCAAAUUGUUUUUCCCUUAUCGGCAGGUUGGGGAUGGGGGAGAACGAGAACGAAGCAAGGUCAUUAGCUCAAUGGCAGCUAGAUCAGUAUAACUCCAGACAUCACGCCACCACCGACCCCUCGAGUGUACGAGUGAUUGGGAGGAAUGAAAGUGAGCGUGAAUGGAGGCAAGAGGAGGCAGAGUGGAAACUGAAUGCAGUGUGAUAAGAGACAGAAGGGAUGAAUAAGUGGAGUGUGUGACCGAGUUAGGGCACUAUGAAGACGUGUAAGGAAUGGUGGUGGUGGUGGAGAAACUAAGUUGAGACGAGUGAAAGGGUUUCAGCCAGUUUUAGGACGGACAGAGGAGGAAAUGGUGUUAGUGAGUUAGGGCUUAUUAUGGAUGAAAUGAAGACGUGAAGGGAAAGUGUGGUGUUGAAAAUGUGUAGAGACGAGUGAAAGGCAGUGAAGGUGUGUUUAGGGCAAUGUUGCGUUAGAUGUAGGGAUAAUUAGUAAACAAGGUAUUGCUGUUUUGUUAAUUUUGUCCAUUACAGGAGUUGACUAUCCGAAGGCCUGACUCGCAGCGGCAAUGAGCCUCGUGUACCUUGCAUUACCUACGCCACCGCCGCAAGAUGAGGGAAGAAGAGCUGUUUGGUAACCAUAUUAGGGCCCAUAUCACCCCCCGAAGCUCAUCAUGGGUGUAACCACCUAGAACCUGGGUAUCAUGGUGACACGUAGGAGUUGGUGAUCCAAAAGCCGCCCCACAGCCGCUACUGCUACUCGGAGGGUUUCUGCCUUGCAUCGGGCCUUCACUGCCGGCCCGCUAACACGUGCCGCCGUCGCCGCUACUGACAGGGAUUUCGCCUCGCUGCGGCCUGGCAAACACCUUCUACGUCGCCGCUAUUGACACUGAGGGACUUCGCCUCGCAGCGGCCUGGCAAACACCUGCUACAUCACCACUACCGCUGCCGCCGCCGUCCAGUGAGAGAUUCAUCUCUGACAUCCUGCCAUUCAACGCCUGCUGCCACCACCACCACCUCCUUAUGGUUCUGUCACUGUACUGAAGCUGUUGUCAUGAUUGAAUAAUAAAUUGUGAAGAAAU